GAUGAACGCUGGCGGCGUGCCUAAUACAUGCGAGUCGAGCGAACAGACGAGGAGCUUACUCCUCUGACGUUAGCGGCGGACGGGUGAGUAACACGUGGAUAACCUACCUAUAAGACUGGGAUAACUUCGGGAAACCGGAGCUAAUACCGGAUAACAUGUUGAACCGCAUGGUUCAACAGUGAAAGACGGUCUUGCUGUCACUUAUAGAUGGAUCCGCGUCGCAUUAGCUAGUUGGUAAGGUAACGGCUUACCAAGGCAACGAUGCGUAGCCGACCUGAGAGGGUGAUCGGCCACACUGGAACUGAGACACGGUCCAGACUCCUACGGGAGGCAGCAGUAGGGAAUCUUCCGCAAUGGGCGAAAGCCUGACGGAGCAACGCCGCGUGAGUGAAGAAGGUCUUCGGAUCGUAAAACUCUGUUAUUAGGGAAGAACAAAUGUGUAAGUAACUAUGCACGUCUUGACGGUACCUAAUCAGAAAGCCACGGCUAACUACGU
This 496-nucleotide ribosomal RNA is filed under the name uncultured bacterium. RNAcentral describes it as "partial 16S ribosomal RNA". It matches the Rfam family "Bacterial small subunit ribosomal RNA", at positions 28 to 506 of the family's 1533-position model. The record is from RNAcentral.